UGGGGAAUCUUGCGCAAUGCGCGAAAGCGUGACGCAGCAACGCCGCGUGGGGGAAGACGGCCUUCGGGUUGUAAACCCCUUUCAGGAGGGACGAAGGUUCACCGGUUAAUAGCCGUGUGGAUUGACGGUACCUCCACAAGAAGGUCCGGCUAACUACGUGCCAGCAGCCGCGGUAAUACGUAGGGACCAAGCGUUGUCCGGAAUCAUUGGGCGUAAAGCGCGCGUAGGUGGCCAUUUAAGUCCGCUGUGAAAGUCAGAGGCUCAACCUUUGAAAGCCGGUGGAUACUGGAUGGCUAGAGUACGGAAGAGGCGAGUGGAAUUCCUGGUGUAGCGGUGGAAUGCGCAGAUAUCAGGAGGAACACCAAUAGCGAAGGCAGCUCGCUGGGACGUUACUGACACUAAGGCGCGAAAGCGUGGGGAGCGAACAG
Molecule: ribosomal RNA, 428 nt
Filed under: uncultured bacterium
Lineage: Bacteria
Description: bacterial SSU rRNA
Rfam family: Bacterial small subunit ribosomal RNA
Source: RNAcentral